Molecule: long non-coding RNA, 518 nt
Organism: Pristis pectinata (smalltooth sawfish)
Lineage: Eukaryota; Metazoa; Chordata; Chondrichthyes; Rhinopristiformes; Pristidae
Exons: 3
Source: RefSeq, a predicted model, not a curated record
UUCGUCUGAAUCACUCUUCUCAUCUGAGUCGUCCUCGUAGUCCUCAUCCCUCUCCUCUGCCUUCUCAUCUGUAGUUACCGAGCAGUCGUCAUGUACUAUCAAAAGUAUCCUGACUGGUUGCAUCAUGAUCUGGUACCGCAAUUUGAAUGUGCAGGAACGUAAGAAGCUGCAGAGAAUUGUGGACUCAGCCCAAUAUAUCACGGGCACAUCCCUCCCUGCCACUCUGCCCCCAUCAGACGAAGGUUUUCCGACGCACAGGAACGCAAGAAGCCGCAGAGAGUGGUGGACACAGCCUGGUCCAUCACGGGCACAGCCCUCCCCACCAUUGAAAGCAUCUACACGAGGUGCUGCCUCAAGAAGGAAGCAGCUAACAUCAAGGAUCCCCACCAUCCGGGCCACGCCAUCUCGCUGCUACCAUUGGGCAGGACAUACAGAAGCCUGAAGUCCCACACCACCAGGUUCAGGAACAGCUACUUCCCUUCAACCAUCAGGUUCUUGAACUGACCUGCACAACCCUA